This 253-nucleotide ribosomal RNA is filed under the name uncultured bacterium. RNAcentral describes it as "partial 16S ribosomal RNA". It matches the Rfam family "Bacterial small subunit ribosomal RNA", at positions 524 to 776 of the family's 1533-position model. The record is from RNAcentral.
UACGAAGGGGGCUAGCGUUGCUCGGAAUUACUGGGCGUAAAGGGCGCGUAGGCGGAUAGUUUAGUCAGAGGUGAAAGCCCAGGGCUCAACCUUGGAACUGCCUUUGAUACUGGCUAUCUUGAGUUCGGGAGAGGUGAGUGGAAUGCCGAGUGUAGAGGUGAAAUUCGUAGAUAUUCGGCGGAACACCAGUGGCGAAGGCGACUCGCUGGCCCGAUACUGACGCUGAGGCGCGAAAGCGUGGGGAGCAAACAGG